UUCUAAUCUGCAGGGAAAGGUGGCAUUGGUGACCGGAGGAGACUCUGGAAUAGGAAGAGCUGUAUGCUACUAUUUUGCUUUAGAAGGUGCAACCGUGGCCUUCACAUAUGUCAAGGGCCAAGAGGACAGGGACAGGGAUGAUACUUUGCAAAUGCUACAAGAAGCAAAGACCUGUGACGCCCUAGACGCCUUAGCCAUAGCUGCUGAUAUCGGAUAUGAGGAAAAUUGCAAGAGGGUUAUUGAUGUUGUUGUAGAAGAAUUUGGAAAAAUUGACAUCCUGGUGAAUAAUGCAGCUGAACAGCAUUUCAACAACAGUGUUGAAGAAAUUACUGAAUCCGGGCUUGAGAGGACCUUUAGAACCAACAUUUUCUCUUAUUUUUUCAUGUGUAGGUAAAGGACUGGACUUUUUGUUUUCUUUUUGUCAUCAAAAACUCCAAGUCUCAAAUAAAAUGUUACACUAAAAAGUAAAUUUGGUGCAGGCAUGCUCUAAAGCACAUGAAAGAAGGAAGCUGCAUUAUCAAUACGACUUCAGUCCUUGGCUUCACUGGUAGUCCAACAUUACUAGGCUAUUGUGCAACCAAAGGAGCCAUUGUGGCAUUCACCAAGGGUCUGGCUCUCCAGCUUGUUGAGAAGGGGAUCCGUGUCAAUGGCGUGGCCCCGGGUCCUGUGUGGACUCCACUGCAAGUGGCAUCUUUGCCCGUGGACUGGAUCACAAGCUUGGGGAGUGAGGCUCCCAUGGACAGGGCUGCACAACCUCACGAAAUUGCACCAUCUUUUGUGUUCUUGGCCUCCAAUCAAUGCUCCUCCUACUUCACUGGCCAGUUCCUCCACCCCAAUGGUUGGCCUAAUUUCAUCAGUCAAAUUGUGCCUUCAAUGUUAUUAUUUACAUGGACAUCUAUUUUGAAACCUGUCAGAUAUCUAAUCUUAAUAGUGCUGAUCUGAUCUUUGGUUACGUUGCAGGUGGUAUGUGGUGAUCACCAACCAAGGCUUGAGUUCUCCAGCUUGCUUAUUACAUUUACAUAUGCAUGUGUGGUGCCGUGGUGUUUUAUUGUGUUUAUGAGUGUGAGCCAUUCAUUUC
Molecule: long non-coding RNA, 1078 nt
Filed under: Durio zibethinus
Lineage: Eukaryota; Viridiplantae; Streptophyta; Magnoliopsida; Malvales; Malvaceae
Description: long non-coding RNA (DZIB_LNC002202)
Source: RNAcentral